AUUCGCCAAAACAUGAUGAAUUAUUUGAAUGAAAGGUUCGAAUGGAAGAAAUUGAAGAUGGAUCUGGUGGCGGAGAAACCCUAGAAACGAAGCGAAUCGAAGGAAUUCGUGGAAUUGGAUGGAAACCCUAGAAUCGGGAAGGAUGAGAGUCAGGGAGAUCCAAUCGAGAGAGAGAGAAGAAGAGAAGCUUCAAUCGCGGGAGAGAAAAAGAUUGUUUACAAGUGUACAAGAACUUUACAACCAUG
RNAcentral lists this long non-coding RNA (245 nucleotides) under Trifolium pratense (red clover). RNAcentral's name for it is "long non-coding RNA (TPRA_LNC008271)". Lineage: Eukaryota; Viridiplantae; Streptophyta; Magnoliopsida; Fabales; Fabaceae. The record is from RNAcentral.